UCGAGGAUCUUCGGCAAUGGGCGCAAGCCUGACCGAGCGACGCCGCGUGCGCGAUGAAGGCCUUCGGGUUGUAAAGCGCUGUCGAGGGGGAGGAACGCCCGCAAGGGCCUGACCUAUCCCUGGAGGAAGCACGGGCUAAGUUCGUGCCAGCAGCCGCGGUAAGACAAACCGUGCGAACGUUGUUCGGAAUCACUGGGCUUAAAGGGCGCGUAGGCGGUCUCCCAAGUCCGGGGUGAAAUCUUUCGGCCUAACCGGAAAAGGGCCUUGGAUACUGGGGGACUCGAGGGGGGUAGGGGCAAGCGGAACUUCCGGUGGAGCGGUGAAAUGCGUUGAUAUCGGAAGGAACGCCGGCGGCGAAAGCGGCUUGCUGGACCCCUCCUGACGCUGAUGCGCGAAAGCCAGGGGAGCGAACGG
Molecule: ribosomal RNA, 414 nt
Filed under: uncultured bacterium
Lineage: Bacteria
Description: bacterial SSU rRNA
Rfam family: Bacterial small subunit ribosomal RNA
Source: RNAcentral